UCCCUGGUGGUCCAGCGGUUAGGACUCCACGCUUCUGCUGCUGGAGGUACAGGUUCCAUCCCUGGUCAGGGAA
Ovis aries (sheep) is the source of this 73-nucleotide transfer RNA. It matches the Rfam family "tRNA". Rfam says of the family: Transfer RNA (tRNA) molecules are approximately 80 nucleotides in length. Their secondary structure includes four short double-helical elements and three loops (D, anti-codon, and T loops). Lineage: Eukaryota; Metazoa; Chordata; Mammalia; Artiodactyla; Bovidae. The record is from Rfam.